Punica granatum (pomegranate) is the source of this 2811-nucleotide non-coding RNA. NCBI's taxonomy places the organism in Eukaryota, Viridiplantae, Streptophyta, Magnoliopsida, Myrtales, Lythraceae. The record is from RefSeq and is a predicted model, not a curated record.
UAUGCAUUUGCACUAAAGAAAGCGGAUGAACUCAGCUGAAACAACUGAAACCUAAUCUCCAGUCUCCUUCCUCUUCUCUCCGUCUCUUCUCUAAUCUUAGCAAUCUCAAUUCCCUUUCUCGAUUUCUCUCAACCCCGUCGUCUCUGAGACUCCAACUCUCCAAUCUCCAUCUACUCUCUCUCUCGCUCUCUAUUUUCGUCUCCAUCAGGGGCUCCCCUCCGUCUCCAUCUCUCCGUCAAGGGGAAGGUCAAGAGCUCCUUUGAUGAGCCUUGCUUUCACUGAUCGACAAGAGGAUGAAAGAGCACACUGAUGAAGUGCUUCAUGCUGUCAAGUGUCAAUGGUGUAAGCGCACAGCCCACUCAACUUGAGAGCUAGACGCGUCGAAUGGAGAAUGCAGUCGAUGAUCACAGGGAAUCUCUUAACUCUUACCAUGGAAGGGCCUAUGGGAAAUUGCGGGAGCUUGAGCAUCUCUUAAGAGAGAUUUUCCUUGCAGACUAUCUGCUUGCCAAAUGGUUGUGGAGAUUUUUUACCAAGCUGGAGCAUCUAAGGAGGUAUGUCAUUACAACCAAGUAUGGGCUUCAAGGGAAAGGGUGGAUCACUAAGCAAGUAAGAGAAUCUUAUCACUACAGCAGACGGAAAGGAAUUAGAGAAGCUUGGGAUCAAUUCAUGACUCGCACUGGGAUCAAAUUGGGCGACGGAUCAAAGACCAUGUUUUGGAAGGACAAAUGAUGCUCAGAGAUCGCAUUAAAAGAUCUAUUUCCUGCCAUGUUCAACUUAGCAAGAAACAAAGACGAAGCUAUUAACGAUUAUUUAUCCCUCACAUGUUGGUGGUUUGUGGAACAUCGAACUCACGAGGACUCACCAGCAAUCGAUGUUGCUAUGUCGUUCAACAGAUCAUGCAUCACGAACAAGGAUUUCCUCCUGCUAGAUGGUUGAAAGAAUGAUCUACUCCAUAGUUCAUGGAAACAUUUCACGCCAAGAUCUUGCAUGCCCCUCUCUGAAUGCGGCCUCCCCGAAAGGUCCUCGGCCAACCAGAAUGAGAUAAAUCUUCCUUGUCGAAUUCGUAGUCCUUGGGGAAUACUGCACAGUACACAAAGCAUCGCUUCAAGUCCGAGGGAAAAUAAAUGUAGCUGAGGUGCAAAGCCUGGGGAAUGCCUUUCGUCUUUGGAAGAUCCCAUAUCAUACUCUCUGCGAUGGCUGUCCACUCACUCAGUUCAUAAUUGGACCGUAGAAGGUCCCCAAAAGUCUUCGCUGCCAGAGGCAAGCUUGCACAGCAUUCAACUAUCUUCUCGCCCGCAGACUUUAGAUGAGGGUGAUCAUCGAAGUUGUCCCUACCAAAUGCAUGGUAAGCGAGUAAAGCUCGACAAUCACCAUGGGAUGUAACAGACUGGCUUCGAGUGGUGACAGUGAUCUUUCUCCCUUUCACUCCGGUGGACUCGAAUGGCCUUCGAAGGAGAGUUCAACUCUCAUACUCCUCGUUCCACGCAUCCUCCAAAACACUGAGGAACUUCUUUCCCGAGAGGUUUUUCUGGAGCUCAACUUGGAGGGCGUUCAAAUCCUUUCAUUCGUGAGCAUUAGCCCCACCCACUGACUGCAAGAUCGUCCUUGUUACAGCCAGCGUGUCGAAUUCAUCGGAGACACAGGCCCACGCUCUCACAAGGAAGGAUCCUUUCACCUGCUCAUUGUAAUAGGCCGACUGAGCGAGAGUUGCCUUGCCUACCCUCCCAUUCAGGGGCGGAGCCAGCAUGUUAGCAGGGGGGCAAUUGCUCCCCUGAACUUUAAAUUUUUUAAAAUUUUACCUCAAAAGUAUAUUUAUUUUAACAUUUUUGUUCCCCUUGCCUCCCUGAACUUUGAAUUUUUAAAAUUUUAUCCCAAAAUUAUAUUUAUUAUAAUAUUUUUGCUCCCCCUCGACAUAAAUCCUGGCUUCGCCCCUGCUCCCAUCCCAACAAUGGGUAUCACCGAGAGAUCGUUGCUUUCAGCCAUCACCAAGUUCAGGAUAGCAUUUCUAUCAUCGUCCCUCCCAGAAAUGCAGGGCUCCGCCAAAGAAGUGCUGGGCAAUCUUCUUUGUUGCCUAGUUCCAGAAAUCCUCCCUCCAUCUCCCUCCCUCGGGCCGAGCGUUUUCUUUCGGCCCAUGAUAUCAGCCAAUCCACCAUCAAUCUCUUCCACCUUAUAUCUCAUCUUACGGUCGAAUGUGAGCCUUCUGGGGCUCAAAAAAGAAACGGCAGCUGGGGAUUAGAAGAUUGCGCAACUUGCUCGAAGAAGCACCGGCCUCGUCGAAGUACAUGAAGCUGCUUCGCAGCACCUCCUCAGUGGCGAACUCAUCGAGCAGGUUCUCCACGUCAUGAGCCAAGUCCGCAAGGUCUUCCAGCCACGGGGUCACUCUGGUCUCUCCACCCAUGGCUCGGUCCACGGCAUCUUCCAGCACGACGUGUGAAUGUCCUGCAGGGUCCACUCCCACUCUCGAGCUGAGAAUUGAGGUUCUCCCGCCGCGCAAACUUCAGCAGCUCAUGAGAGGCCAAUCUGUCGAACAGCAUCUGUAGGAAAGCGCCAAACAGCACCUCGGCCAUGAUCAAUUUCAGUACAGUAUUUAUGUUUCUUCGCUGGGAGAAAUCAAGUUUUGGGGAGCAGAGAAGAAAAAGAAGCAGGGGAAAGAAACUGCGGGUGCAUUUAUUGUUGGAGGAACCAACCGGGACCAAUGCUUAUAAUUGACUCUUGUCUCGCCAAUUGCUCAAUAUGAUCCUGUAUAUGAAGAUAUCUCGCAAUCAAAUCAUCCUAUUCCAGUGAUAAAUUAAAAGCAAUUAUUUUACAGUU